Molecule: long non-coding RNA, 1458 nt
Filed under: Nicotiana benthamiana
Lineage: Eukaryota; Viridiplantae; Streptophyta; Magnoliopsida; Solanales; Solanaceae
Description: long non-coding RNA (NBEN_LNC037943)
Source: RNAcentral
CUAAGACCCUAGAGAGAUUAACGAUGAAUGCACAAGAAGUAUUAACUCUGAAAGGUUAUGAAAGGCCCCAACUUUAGUAUAAGCAAACUAGCAUCUUAGACAAACUAUCAACGGCUAUCUACCAUUUGCAUCUCAGUUUACUACUUGAUUCAAAGUUAUAGCACUGGCUAAGUGUAAAAUUUCAAGUCUGCCACCUGCUUUGUUAGCCUUGGUUGCCAACUCAUUCUGCAUAUAACAUCAUGUAUGUUGUGUUGAGUUAUCUUUUUAUGCCAGAUAUUUAUGUUAAUUUCUAAUUCACUAAAAAUGCCCAAAGGUUUUUGGUUUAUGAAGGUGCAUAUUCAUUUAUUGAAAAGCACCAAAUCCUUAAGUUAUAUAUGCUAUUGAUAUCAUGUUUCUAUUUGCUGUGUCAUUAGAUUGCAAAUGUGUUUCUGCAAUUUCAUCUGGUACAUGAUUACUUAUCUCUGCUUUACUUAUGUAUCUGAUUAGAUUUUUAUGACAAUAACAUGUUUGUUUUUUUAUUAGAAAGGAAUAUUUUAAAGUCUGUCAAUUCACUAGAUGUCUUUGAUCAAUAAUACGCGAGACUACAAAAAAAUAUUAGCUCUUAGAUUCUGUGCAAUAUUGGGUCAUGUUUUGCAUCAAGGGUGCAACAUGAAUCACUAUGUUUUUUAGAGUACUGCAUCUAAUACUGGUGAUCUACUAAUUGAGAAAGGUUCCGAUUCUGCUGGUUCGUGCGUCUUUAUGCAGCUGAAGUUGCACAUGCUCUUGAAUACAUACACAGUAUGGGAAUGAUUCAUUGAGAUUACGUCUUUAUACACAGUAUGGGAAUGAUUCGUUGAGGUAUUAAGGUGCUUUUAUUACCUGGACACCUUUGUCAAUGAAAUAUAUUACGAAAGUUUUGAGUUUAUAUUUAUGGCUUCCACAAAACUUGCUACGUGCUGCAGAUGGACAUAUUAAAAUCGUUAAUUUAGGCAGUGUAAAACCAUGUAGGAUAACAGAAUUCCUUUUAUAUGCAACAUCAGGUAUAUCUUUCUUGAUGUUCGGUUGCUUCCGUGGAAAUUAGAAUCAGUUUAUGUUCCCAAACAUAUGCUCUUUGUGCAUUUUUAUUGCCAAAUCACUUCUCCAGAUAACAAAGCAUGCACUUUUGUGGGGACAGCUGUAAAGAUCCUCACAUUCAAAUGAAGGUCGGUAUGCAGAUGAUUUUAUCCUAUUUUAGAUCACUCAAUAAGAAAAUAUUUGUUGUAUGAUGCAGGAAUUUGGAGAGAUUUUGGUGAGCCUCCUUUUAGUUUCUGCUAAUCAAUAUCAUAUUAAUGAACCUUUUAUACCCUUUAAGUUUUUUUUCAAAAAAUACUCUAGAAGUAUCAAUGUCAUAUUAAAAAGCAAAAGUAAAUAUCAUAUAGGACAUCCCUUUGCUCUUUUUUUUUUCUCCUCUUUGCACACCCUUAAAUGAUAUUUAAGCUU